Molecule: ribosomal RNA, 320 nt
Filed under: uncultured eukaryote
Lineage: Eukaryota
Description: partial 18S ribosomal RNA
Rfam family: Eukaryotic small subunit ribosomal RNA
Source: RNAcentral
CCCUUAGAUGUUCUGGGCCGCACGCGCGCUACACUGAACAGUUCAACAAGUCUUAACCUUGGCCGAUAGGUCUGGGUAAUCUUUGAACGCUGUUCGUGAUUGGGAUAGACCUUUGCAAUUAUGGGUCUUCAACGAGGAAUUCCUAGUAAACGCAAGUCAUCAGCUUGCAUUGAUUACGUCCCUGCCCUUUGUACACACCGCCCGUCGCACCUACCGAUUGAAUGGUCCGGUGAAAUCUCGGGGCGGCGGCUUGGUCGCUUGCGUCCGACUGCUGAAACUUGAUUAAACCAUAUCAUUUAGAGGAAGGUGAAGUCGUAACA